GACGAACGCUGGCGGCGUGCUUAACACAUGCAAGUCGAACGGUGACGGAGAGCUUGCUCUCCUGAUCAGUGGCGAACGGGUGAGUAACACGUGGGCAACCUGCCCCAGACUUCGGGAUAACGCUUCGAAAGAGGUGCUAAUACCGAAUACGAACGCCGUGGGCAUCCACGGUGUUGGAAAGUUUUUCGGUCUGGGAUGGGCCCGCGGCCUAUCAGCUUGUUGGUGAGGUAAUGGCUCACCAAGGCGACGACGGGUAGCCGGCCUGAGAGGGCGACCGGCCACACUGGGACUGAGACACGGCCCAGACUCCUACGGGAGGCAGCAGUGGGGAAUAUUGCGCAAUGGGCGAAAGCGUGACGCAGCAACACCGCGUGAGGGAAGACGGCCUUAGGGUUGUAAACCUCUUUCAGAUGGGACGAAGGUGAUGCGGUGAAUAGCCGAUGUCAUUGACGGUACCGUCAGAAGAAGCUACCGGCUAACUACGUGCCAGCAGCCGCGGUAAU
RNAcentral lists this ribosomal RNA (503 nucleotides) under uncultured bacterium. Its description in RNAcentral is "bacterial SSU rRNA". It matches the Rfam family "Bacterial small subunit ribosomal RNA", at positions 28 to 524 of the family's 1533-position model. The record is from RNAcentral.